Molecule: long non-coding RNA, 1454 nt
Filed under: Capsicum annuum
Lineage: Eukaryota; Viridiplantae; Streptophyta; Magnoliopsida; Solanales; Solanaceae
Description: long non-coding RNA (CANN_LNC016408)
Source: RNAcentral
GUAAAACAAUUUUAUCUGAAAAAAAUUACAACUUCUAGGGUUUCUUACUGCAUACGUUGAUCUUCUUUUAUGCUAGUUGUUUCAAAAGAACAACAACAUCUAUGGCUAUGUGGAAUAACAAGGUUCUAAGAAAACUCUCUUCUACAUCUAAAUUAUGCAUAUUGUAAAUGCUUCAAUAAGGAAUCUAUCAUUGUUGUGGCGUAUUUCCCUAAUUUUCAAGUGUCGGGCACGAAGACAAGAAGUAUCAAGAGGUAUGUUGUUAAUAUUUUGCUUAAUUAUUAGUUCUUUCAAGUUGAUGUCUAAAAAUUUUCAGAUCGUACGAUUUAUGUAACGUUGUACCUAUUUUUGAUAUUUUUUUAAGAGUCUUUAUUGAUAUUCUAUGAUACCGUGGAGUUGUACUGAUGGUCGGAGGAUGUUUCCAACUUUUCUUUCACUUUGUGCACUGUGAAUAAAUUUUUAUGCUUUACUUUUCAACUCUAACACAUUUAUAUUGAACUAUAUUUAUGUUGUUGUUUUUUUUAUAUAUGGUACCUUUUUCCUUAUCUUUUGGUUAAAAAAUAUGGAAAGAACAAUAAACCACUGCAAUGUGCAGCAGCUUGCUUUCACAAAAAAGGAAUAAAUUAUAAGACUCAUCCAAAUCAAUAUGCAUUCAAAAAUCACAGUUUUGAAAGGAAAAAUUAACGAAUCCCAUUUAAUAGAUAGCAAGAAAAAACUGCAACAAUAUGCUGGUAAAUUUCAUGAUUUGUAGCAUUUCAGUCUCUGGUGAUUUCUUAUUUCUCUGAAUUUUUACUAAGUUUCUGGAGAUAUAGUUUUUGGGAGAUUCAUGUUUUGAUUGAACAGUGACAAAUACUUAUAAUAAACCUCAGAUAAUUAAAAAGUUCAUCUCAUUUGGAACAUUAACAAAUUUUGUGUUCUAACUAAUGUUGUCGGGGCUUAUGGAUGUUUUUGUUAUUGGUUUGCUCGAAGAAUCUGAUAGUGGCUUACGGCUUAACAACUUGAAAUAUAAUUUAUGGAAUAUUUUGGAUAGAAGAAUGAAUUUGGUGGAAGGUAACCUGAAUUUUGAUUUGGUGGAGGGGACAUCAGGUUAUUUUUUUUUACAGAAAUUUGCUUUUACAUGUUUGAGAAUCUCCACACAUGAUCAUUAAUUAUCUAUUUUUUUAAUUUUUUUGCUUUUACUUCACUUCAACAGUUAAACUCCCGAAUUGCAUAAAUUGAUAUCGUUGCUCUUAUUCGUCAUUUUUUUUUUGUAUUCAAAACUCUUAGGUGAAUGCAGUAGAUGGCAAGGAGGGGGUUUGGAAGAAGGGGUGGUAUUUUCAAUCCCUUCUCAUUGGAUAUAUGGGAAGAUACAGGAGCAAUGGAUGUAGUUAAUGCGGACUAUUAGCUAUAAAGAUCAAUUACAUCACGGCAUUUUAUGAUAACAAACUAUAAAAAAAAACAGACAUACAAGAAAGACG